AUGUGGGGAGGGGGUCCCCAAAAUCAUCCCCUCAAGAACUCUAAAAUCAUCCCAAAACCACCCCAAAUUCCCUUAGAGUCCCCCCCAAGACCCUCUAAAACCCACUCAGGACCCCCCAAAACUCUCAGGAAGCCAAAUAUCACCCCAAAAAUUCUCUCAGGAUCCCCCAAAUCCCCUCAAGAUCCUACAAAUUCCCUCAGAACCCCUCAAAUAGAAUCCAAGACCCCCCAAAACCCCUCAGGAUCCUACAAAUUACCUCAGGGCUCCCCAAAAUCCCUCAGGAUCCUACAAAUUACCUCAGGGCUCCCCAAAAUCCCUCAGGAUCCUACAAAUUACCUCAGGGCUCCCCAAAAUCCCUCAGGAUCCUUCAAAAACCCUCAGGGCUCCCCAAAACCCCUCAGGAUCCUACAAAUUACCUCAGGGCUCCCCAAAAUCCCUCAGGAUCCUACAAAUUACCUCAGGGCUCCCCAAAACCCCUCAGGAUCCUACAAAUUACCUCAGGGCUCCCCAAAAUCCCUCAGGAUCCUACAAAUUACCUCAGGGCUCCCCAAAACCCCUCAGGAUCCUACAAAUUACCUCAGGGAUCCCCAAAAUCCCUCAGGAUCCUUAAAAACCCUCAGGACUCCCCCAAAAUCCCUCAGGAUCCUACAAAUUACCUCAGGGCUCCCCAAAAUCCCUCAGGAUCCUUCAAAAACCCUCAGGGCUCCCCAAAAUCCCUCAGGAUCCUACAAAUUACCUCAGGGUCCCCCAAAACCUCUCAAGAUCCUACAAAUUACCUCAGGGCUCCCCAAAACCUCUCAAGAUCCUACAAAUUACCUUAGGACCCCCCCAAAACCCCUCAGGAUCCUACAAAUUACCUCAGGACUCCCCAAAACCUCUCAAGAUCCUACAAAUUACCUCAGGGCUCCCCAAAACCCCUCAGGAUCCUUCAAAAACCCUCAGGACUCCCCAGAAUCCCUCAGGAUCCUUCAAAACCCCUCAGAACCCCCUCAGGACCCCUAAACACCCUUCAAGCCCCCUCAGGAUCCUCCAAAGCCCCUCAGGACCCCCCAAAUCCCCUCAGGAUCCCCAAAUCCCCUCAGGAUCCUCCAAAGCCCCUCAGGACCCUCCCAAACCCCUCAGGAUCCUUCAAAACCCCUCAGGAUCCCCAAAUCCCCUCAGGACCCCCAACCCCCGCCUCAAGAUUCUCCUCAGGACCCCUCAAACCCCCACCCCGNAAUCCAAACCCCCCAAUCCCCAAACCCCCCCAAACAUUCCCAAAACCCCCCAAAAAAACCCCAAAAUCCCCCAAAUUCCCCCCAAAACAAAUCCCCCCCCCAGGGAACCUCGGCGCAUCGUGAUCCCUCGAGGCUCCACCGGGCUGGGAUUCAACAUCGUGGGGGGCGAGGAUGGCGAAGGAAUCUUCAUCUCCUUCAUCCUGGCCGGGGGUCCCGCCGACCUCAGCGGGGAGCUGCGCAAGGGAGACCAAAUCCUAUCGGUGGGUGACAAAUUUUGGGAAGUUUGGGAAUUUUUUGGGAAUUUUUUGGGAUUUUUUUGGGAAUUUUUUGGGAUUUUUUUGGAAUUUUUUUGGAUUUUUUUUGGAUUUUUUUUUGGAUUUUUUUGGAUUUUUUUUUGGUUUUUUUUGGAUUUUUUUUGGAUUUUUUUUGGAUUUUUUUUGGAUUUUUUUUGGAUUUUUUUUGGGAUUUUUUGGGGAUUUUUUUGGGAUUUUUUUGGGGUUUUUUGGGAACUUUUUGGAUUUUAUUUAGGGGAUGUAUUGGGAUUUUUUUUUUUUUGGGAUUUUUUGGGGAUUUUUUUGGGAUUUUUUUGGGGUUUUUUGGGAACUUUUUGGAUUUUAUUUAGGGGAUGUAUUGGGAUUUUUUUGGGAUUUUUAGAAGGUUUAUAAGGAUUUUUUGGGGAUUUUUUUCGGGGUUUUUUGGGUUUUUUUUAGGGAUUUUUUAGGGAAUUUUUUUGGACUUUUUAGGGAUUUUUUGGGGAUUUAUAGGAAUUUUUGGGGGGAUUUUUA
RNAcentral lists this long non-coding RNA (2002 nucleotides) under Cyanistes caeruleus (blue tit). RNAcentral's name for it is "lncRNA (ENSCCEG00000002165.1)". Lineage: Eukaryota; Metazoa; Chordata; Aves; Passeriformes; Paridae. The record is from RNAcentral.